GACCGGCGCUCCCCGAUGGGAGAUGUAGUUCGGCCCCGGCGGGGCUGCUCCGGGGGGGAUGGAGCCGCUGGGGAUGCCCGGGGGACGCGUGACGAUGCGGUUUCAGAUCUCUGGAAUUUAAAGCCAAUCACAUGUUUUCUGCAAACCCUCACACCUAAUUUUGGCCUAUGGGGGGUUAAUGCAGUAGCAGAGUGAUGACUGUGCUGGCUGGGCAGCCUCCCUUCUGCCCUUGCUGCUUCCCCAGGGCUGAAAAAAGCUGCCUUGGCAACAGAGACAUCCUAAAGAGCUGCUGUGGAGCCUGCUCUUGGAUGGUCUUUCUGACAAAGCACAGCAGGCAGCAGGAGCUGAUGGAGAACCAAAUGGUGAAGGCAACCUUGUACUAGAGGCUUGAUGUCAGAAAUCCAUAGAAAUAAUACAGAAUAACAGAGGCCUUGGGAAAGGAGGAAGAGGUGGAGAACUGGGAGAGACAGUGUGGUUUGCCUAGAUGAAGGAAAACAUAUUUGAUGAGAACAGCAGAACUGUUGAAAAGGGGGCAAUGCCAUUAGCUUGUUCUCCUGCAGAGACUAGAGGAAGCCAACAGCAUACCUGGAAACUUGGAAAUUUUGCGUAACCUGCAACUGUUAUACUGCAACUGUUACACUGUGAAAAGCUGUUUUACCAAUCUUGUGGCAUUUCUGCCUUCCUUAUGCUGCCCUGUCUGUGGCAAGACAGACUGAACCAUUCUGAGGUGCUCAGACAAGUGGAAUAAAACUGAGCUGGCUGCUUGAAAGCUUUCGUCAAUAGGUGUCACUGCUCUGCUCUUCCCUUCUCAAAUCUCUCCUCUUUCCAUCGGCAGCUUGGAAACGACAACCUCUUCAAGGAGAAGUCACUAAUUUUACAGGUAGGCAUCCCAUUUUCCCUCCCUUACCAUCUUCCUCCACUAAUUUCAGUGUUUCUAAAGCUCUCAAUUAGCAAAUCUGCAACCACUCCUCUUGGGAUGCUAGUAUGCAGCCUAUGGCCAAAAGAAACCAAGCCUUUCCAGCUUUUAUUUGGAAGACAAGGAGGAAGAGUGGGCAUGGAAAAACCCAGUUGAGAACAGUUGCUGCAUUUCUUGCUGCCAUGAAGGGUCUGGCUCUACUAUAUGGUCUCAACGACCAAACACAGAGAGGAAGUAAUGCAGGACAUGCCAUGAAUAUUGCAGAGGCUUACAAAUAAAAGUUGAUGAAGUCCUGGCAUGAUUUAUGACUAGUAUUUUGGGUUUUGGGAAUUAAUGUGAAUAAGAAACCUCAUCUCUCAGUUGCACUGUGUAUAGACAACUCUGACCUGCAGCUCC
This is a long non-coding RNA of Neopelma chrysocephalum (saffron-crested tyrant-manakin), 1312 nucleotides long. RefSeq lists it as uncharacterized. NCBI's taxonomy places the organism in Eukaryota, Metazoa, Chordata, Aves, Passeriformes, Pipridae. The transcript is spliced from 4 exons. The record is from RefSeq and is a predicted model, not a curated record.